This 556-nucleotide long non-coding RNA is filed under the name Macaca mulatta (Rhesus monkey). RNAcentral describes it as "lncRNA (ENSMMUG00000057480.1)". Lineage: Eukaryota; Metazoa; Chordata; Mammalia; Primates; Cercopithecidae. The record is from RNAcentral.
GUAUUUACUUGUGUUUUCCUACAAUUAUCUGAACAGUAAAUGGACAGAAAUAAAAAUAGGACAGACUGACAUCAUCAUGAAGAAUUGGCCCACAUUUGAGAACUGCAUUAAUUGUGUCAUUAAAGAAAAGCAUUGAUGGAAGACACCCUGAAAGAAUAAUAAAAGACAAGGAUUUAACUAAGUAAUGAAUGGCAAGAAAACAUUUAAAAGAAACAAAAGCAGUGUGGUUUCAAGUGUAUCAAGUUUGGAAUGGCACAGACGUUAGGGAAAUUCAUUAUCUGAAUUUCUCUGGGCUUCAAACUGGGUAAGUGUAGAUAAUUCACAUUUCACAACAAAAUAAGGUACUUAAAGUAUAAAAUAAAUAUCUAUGAGUGCAAACUGACCUUAAAAAGUUAUUGAAUAAAUGAAUGGGGAGAAUAGACAAAUCUUCUUUGAAGAAGAAUUCCAAAUAACUUAUGUAGAUAGUACCUUCUUGUUUUAGUCAGGGUUCUUCAGAGAAGCAAACCAACAAAAUGUGUGUGUGUGUGUGUGUACAUAUACACACACACAAGCAUAU